RNAcentral lists this ribosomal RNA (423 nucleotides) under uncultured prokaryote. RNAcentral describes it as "bacterial SSU rRNA". It matches the Rfam family "Bacterial small subunit ribosomal RNA", at positions 355 to 774 of the family's 1533-position model. The record is from RNAcentral.
CAACGAAUAUUCCGCAAUGGGCGCAAGCCUGACGGAGCGACGCCGCGUGGGGGAUGAAGUCCUUCGGGAUGUAAACUCUGAUAGUGCGCCAGGAAGCAAGCCGGCCUAAUACGCCGGUAAGUUGACCAGCGUACGAAAGGGGCGGCUAACUCCGUGCCAGCAGCGGCGGUAAGACGGAGGCCCCGAGCGUUGUUCGGAAUCACUGGGUUUAAAGCGCGUGUAGGCGGAGUGGCAAGUACCGUGUGAAAUCCCCGGCUUCAACCCGGGAACUGCUUGGUAUACUGCCACCCUUGAGGCAGGUAGGGGUCGCUGGAACGUUAGGUGGAGCGGUGAAAUGCGUAGAUAUCUAACGGAACGCCUGUGGCGAAAGCGGGCGACUGGGCCUGUCCUGACGCUGAGACGCGAAAGCGUAGGGAGCAAACG